CGACGUACCGUCUGGAACCUAACGUUUCCUUUCCGUUUUUUCGUGUUUUUUUUUUUUUUUUUUUUUUUUCUAUUUCGAUCCGUUUCGUCCCGCGCCCGCCCGCGGUAGUCGUAUCGCGCGCGUUCAACGAUCGUCAUAGUAAUAUGCGAAUAUUUAUGCGCAUGUCGUCGAACGAAUCAUCCGAUAUCGGAUUCGGUGCCGUCCGCCGUGAAAUAACCGUACACCGUUGCAUCAUAACAAUACGAAACGUUUUCGGUGAAACGGAAAUUUUUAAAAAAAAUUAUCGGUUGUGGAUUUUUUUUUUUUUGAUUUUUUAAGCCACUCAUCAGGUUGUUCGCGCGUUAAACUCGAUCCGGCCGGGUCGGUUCGCGCGUACCAGCUCCGCGCGUUUUACGUACCCACGUAGGUAAUAUAUUUACGGGCGACACGACAAAUGGCACGAUUGAAUCGUCGGUCUCGCGGAGUGGACGGCCUGAAUCGCAUUCGUAAAGGCAAACUAAUGUUGAUCGAACUAAACGAUGUGGCCCCCUUGUGGCCCAUUACCUCGCCCACCUCCCCGGACCGUUUGACGGCCACUGCCUUCGGCGAUAAAAACCCGCCACCGUCCCGUCGCGUUUUCUCGCGCGAAAUUUCCGACAGUCUUAUUCGACGGCGUGAACAAUGAACAGUACGACGACCGCACGCGACGUCAUCGUUUACAUUCGUGUUACGGUUAUUGACGGACGUCAACGUUUCACGAUAGAAAUCGGACACGAUUCGCGAAUACGACGGAAGGCGUUGGUGCCCGUUUUAUUUUUUUCCCAUUUUUCCACGCACGUACGGCGACCGCGUUGUCGCGCACCGUAAAACUGUUACACAGGGGCUGCAGUCGGACCGAUUUUUCUAGGACUGUCAACGUUUAAUUGUUGUUGUUUUUUUUUUUUUUUUUUUUUAUCAUUGUUUUUUUCAAAUAUGAUUUACUUUUGGGGCGGGACAUCUAAAAAUUGCAUUUUCAUUUCCAUCCCCCACAAACCAAUUCACUUUACAGCGUUUCCAGAAUAGGCGGUGGAUUUCGUAAAGGCGUAUAAUGUUCUAAUCAUUUUAUUGUAUCAUACAUUUAUAUCCGAUCAAUAGACCAUAACUCAAUAAAUAAAGUUAUUCUCUAUCGCGUUACGUAUUAUUCUCAUUUUUCACACCUUUCCUCUGGAAAUUAAUACGGCCGUUACCAAUAAGAAACUAUUGAUCAAAUAUGAAUGUAUGACUAAUUCAAACAAUAAUAUAUUUUACGAAACGCCAAUUUUGAAAUUUUGCGAUGUGAAUAAAUUAAGUUGGUUUUUUUUUUCUGAGUGAUAAAGCGAUGUAAAUAAAAAUGUAAUAUUUCUCAAAUAGAUGUUCGCCUUAAAGCAAAACAAAUUGAAAAAAAAAAACCAAAAAAAAAUUGUUAGCUCCAGAAAAAUCCGUCGAACAAGGGGGGGGGGAGCCUGUAUAUUAUUACUAUUAGUAUUCCGUUAGGAUUUUCGACUCCGCCGACUUUGUAAAAGCCAUAAAAAAGCGUACAAAACUUGUGUAAAUAAAUCUAUAUACGUCCAAACCGCGUGCAUCAUCGCGGUAUUGAUAAUUAUUUUUAAACAAAAACCAUACUCUCAAUCUUGUACAUAUUAUUACUAUUAUUACUAUUAUUUGUAUUCUUAAUAUUAUUAUUAUAAGUUAGCUUAAGAGUAUAUUUAUGUUAAAACGGUUUAUAUAAAUAUAGAAAUAAGCGUCCAGGACGAACGGAUCCGUCUGUUCUACACCAUCUAAGAAAAAAAAAAAAAUAAAAUAAAAAAACGAGCCAUCAUUGGUCAGCGUUUUUUUUUAUUUUGAUAAGUCAGGGGCAAAUUCUAAAAUUCUUCCCCGGACCGGCAUUAUAGAAUUAGAUUUUCGGAAAGCACCAGAAGGGCGAAAAUAAAGGCGUAUAAUCAAAUACUGUGCAUAUUCGGCUAAACAAAUUAUCCGAAAUUAUUAUUACUCGAUAGUCUGUUGUGUCGACUCUCGGUAAUUCCAAGUUGUUUGACUUUUCGCCGCGUUUUCGAACAUUUUCGAGACUUUAAAAUUCUGUUGAUUAGAUUUUGUAUUAACUUAUUUUAUUUUUUCGUAUUCCUCUUGAUCGAAAUUGGAAGUGUCCGUCUUCCUUCUUCGUGUCCAAAGUUUCUACGGUUACCGCACCGAAUAAAAAUAUACAAAAACAAUUACGAUAUUUUAACAAUGGCUUUAUGAAGUUUGGAGACUCUGGAUGUGUGUCGACCGGUAUCUAAUGGAUUCCCGCGGUCUUUUCGUUCACGGGAGAAACGCUUUAGGGUUUUCGGCUCGAUCGACUCACACGAUUCGUUCAUCUUCCCGCGCAACCAAUGAAAUAUCGUGAUUUUCAAAAUCCACGGACCGUUUAAAACAAGGGUUCCUAAAAUGAAGGACGUGCUUCCCUAGCGUGACAAAAUUUCAGGAAAGGCGUACAAAUUUUUCAAAACCUCAAGAAACAUAUACACAUUUAUAUAUAUAUAUAUAUAUAUAUAUAUGUACUCCAACGUUAUGGUGGCGGGAUGGAGACGAGAUCGUAUGCAAUACUUUGAAAGGGGGAGCCUGGAUCCCUAAAGGUUUAAAAUCCUUAGUUUAGAUUACUGAUAUGUGAUAUCAAUUUAAACGCGAUAAUACGGUACAUGAUACAGUGUAUUAGGAAACGGGGCAUUUAUAGUUUUUUUUUUUCGGCCCGUUCGGGUCAACGUUUAUUGUAUCGACGUAAACGUCAAUCUGAAACGUCGUCAUUUCCGGUAACCCGGAAAAAUGAACAAAAGGCCGAAAUUUCGCUGGGCGGGCUGGUUCAUUGACCCGAAACGCCCACCCCUUCGAACGGGGGAAAGGCAAAAAUAUCGCCGCUACUAUCGUGUACACACAUCACGACGUGUUUAUACAUUGUCCACCAUACGAAAUACGUACUAUACGCACAAAUGGGUCUCCAGAGUGUCUUUUAUCCGCCUUUUUUUUUCAUCAUCCCCUUUACCCCGUUGUAGUCUGGAUGCCGUUGCUCGCGGGAAGAAAUCCGCUUCGUAUAUUCGGCGAUCGAUACAAUAUUCCGCCGACCGUGACACGGUGACCGUCGAAAAUACUAAUAAUAAUCAACAAAUAACCGAAUAUUCUAUAGUUCUUUACCCAACCCCUUUUUCACAGACACCGCUGUUAAAAUUCACAUAUCCGUCGAGUUCUUUGAACGUCUAAAAAAGGUUUCUCAUCGAUUUCAAUUAGCCGACAAGUUUAUAAUAGAUAUUAUAUAACGGAUUGCAAAUAUUUUUUUACCGAGACACAAAAACACAAAAACAUUACGAACAUAAUGGAUUUGGUUUUUUUUUUUUUAUAAUACACUGGCAUAUCACCGACCUUUUUUUCGGACUGUUUUACUUGUAGUAUAAUAUCAACAAUUUUCCGUCUAAUAGUGAUCCGGCGUUCCGAAUUCCGUUUUCGGCGGUCUCUGGUAAAAAAUGUGUUUCAUUAUUUUUGUUGAAAAACCAUACAAAUUUAUGGACGGAACAUGAAACCCCGAUGACUGAGAGACGUGAUGGACGGCGGUCGUGUCCAACGGAUUAAAGGAAAUUGUCUCGGCAUAUAAGGCGUACGAGAAAACAGCAUAUUUACCCCGAGGACAGUCAAUAAACAAAUGUGUAUAUGAACCUAAUAUGAGGACUCGUAUUUGUUUAUUCUUCCGUCUAAUUUUCAGACCACUGCCACGAGUUGUCAUACUGAAUCCAGUGACGUAAUCAGAAAUUUUGAUCUUGGUAGGCAAAAGGGUACGAUAAUAAGAAAGAAUACGAUAAAAAGAAAAAAAUUAAAAUUUCGUUCAAUAGGGAUGUGGGCAUACGUCCCAUUAAUUCCCUCUCUGGCCAGGCCCGUCGUAAGGUAUUUUCCGCCUUAAAGCGAACAUUUUGAUGCCGGUCUUUUUUGACGAUUAUUAAUUUUUGCUGCUUCAAUUUUAUUAAAAUUGUAUGCCAUGCGCAUUCCACCUCUGGCCAUACACCACUGACCGAAUGUUCCAUCUAUACAGUUGUGUCAUAAAUAUGUCAUUUAUGGUAAAAACCGCUCGUUGUAUAUUAUCUCUACAUAAGUUGAAUUUCCGAAACUUUUUGAUAAAAAAAACAAUGAACCGAUUGCGUUUUAUCGUCAUCAAAAUUCAAAACUCUAAUGUAAACUUUAUCGUUCUCUUUUAACGACGAUUUUAUGAACUCGUUUUAAUUUCGUAGUGCUCACACACGUCCUGUUAUUAACACAAAUAAAACUAAAUAUUGAUUUUUUUUUUUUUUUUAUGUUUUUGGUACGAUCUAUGAUUUUUCGGUUUUAUAUUUUAAUUGUAUUGUAUUUAGAAAAUUAUUUUACGAACCUGUCCCAAUCGAACACCAAAGAUUGUUUGUAGGUAUACAUUUUUUUUAUCGUAUUUCAUUAAUUUGUUAAACAUCAACGAUGAUAUUUUAUCCACGCUGACACGAUGUUAGUGUAGGUUGUCUUUUCUGUAUACGUAGAAAAAACUGGGUAAAAUUUGUAUUUGUAUUUUUUUAUCUCUUCUCGUUUCCUCAAACGGGACUUUCCUAUAUAGUUUAUAAUAUAUAACUAUAAAACUACGCGUCAAUCCGCAUAACCGGAUAUCGACAUGACGUUCUGAUGUAAUACUUCCGCGUUAAUAUGCGUUUUUUUUUUUUUGUUACUUUUACAAUAUUUAUGUACUUAUUUGUAUAUUAUUUAUAUUUACUAUUAUUAUUACGAUUUUUAUCAUUUAUUAUUGACUGCGAUGUUUAUGUGUAUAAAAAUAACAUUUUUUUUUUUUUUUUUACUUCCUAAUUCCGUAAACAUUUCCUACAAAAAAUCGUCCGAGUUUUUCGACGUUUACCUAAAAGUAUUGCAGGUCGAUCCAUUUUCCGCGUCCAUACAACAAUAGACGGCAAAAAAAACUACACGGAAACUAUAAAAAUGGCCAAGUCCAAAACUUCAAAACCUUAUGUACACGGGUGAAUAACUUUACCGAAGUACAAUAAUAUAAUACCCAAAUAAACAUACAAGUAAUGAUUUUUUUUUUUUUUUUUAUUGACUUGUUAUUCGUUCUUUUGAACCGUCUCAGCCCACAAUCAAUUCUCGAGCGCUAUCUGCAUUCCGAAUCUAUCGCCAAAAUUAUCUAACUCGGUCCACUUCCCGUCAAUUUUUUAUCAGCUGAACAUUUUAUAAUACUUUUCCAAUAUUUGUAUACACGUAUUAAUUGAUAUUGUGAUGUAAAUGAUAAAAAUGUAUGAAACGUGAUAAUUCUCCGAAUCAUUAAGCUAUCGUCAAAAUAAUAUUAAGUCAAAACUAGAUGGACUGUACAAUAUUAGAUAAGUAUUAAGAGAAUGGUCAACUCACAUUAGCAGCCAUGUUUAGUGCAAAAUAUUAAUGAAGAAUGUGAAGAAUGAAUGUGUCUAACGUUCUAAGAGUAAAAAAUUGAAAAAUGAAUUAUUUUUUUUAUGUAUAGUCAAUGUGUUCGAGGCGCAAUAAUUCGGUGUGUGUUCAAGUGCCAAAACCGAUUUGUUUCUAGUACGAAAAUUAGUUCAUAGCUGGUCUGUUUCACGGGUUUUUCGACACACGUACGUUCCAAACAAAAAUUACAUUUUUCAACACUUAGAAUGUUUGACACAUUCGCUCUUUAAAUAUUUCAAAUUCAAAUUAUGUAUACCCGUUUAAAACUCUAAUAGAACAUAUAAAUCUCUAUUGUAUCGCGUGUAAGAAAUUUUGUUUUAUUUGUCUUUAACUCCCAUGGAAGAAGGGCUUAAUAAGUCCAUAUUCGGUAAUUUUUUUUUUAUUAUAAUAUAUUAUAUGUUAUAGUUUUGUCAAAUGUAAUUUUUUCUACUUUAUUUUUUGUAUCUUAGUUGUAUAAUUGUAUGAUUAUUUCAAAAUUAUUCUAAGUAGUGUAUUAGUUUAUGUACAAGUGUAUGUAAUUUCCAAAUUUAUUUUGCUUGUAUAGAAAACUAUACUAAGUUGACUUAAGCCUUUCUUCCCUGUGACCAGUGGCGUACCUAGGGGCAGGGCUGGAUUUUGACUUUCGGAUACCUGGGAAAAAUUUUUUUUUGAGACUCUUAGCAGUAAACGAAUUAAAAAUACCCAAUAUCUAAGUAUUUGAGGAAAAAAUAAAAAAAUUACAAACUUGCACGUUAUAACUAUCUAUCUGAAAAGCGUUAUUUCAAAUUUGAAAUACUGCUGUUUAUGUAUCAC
Molecule: non-coding RNA, 6234 nt
Organism: Cinara cedri
Lineage: Eukaryota; Metazoa; Arthropoda; Insecta; Hemiptera; Aphididae
Source: the annotation of a GenBank genome assembly